Gossypium arboreum is the source of this 107-nucleotide small nucleolar RNA. It matches the Rfam family "Plant small nucleolar RNA R71". Rfam says of the family: R71 is a member of the C/D box family of snoRNAs containing the C (UGAUGA) and D (CUGA) box motifs. Multiple nearly identical copies of this snoRNA have been identified in Arabidopsis, and it is thought to function as a 2'-O-ribose methylation guide for 18S ribosomal RNA. NCBI's taxonomy places the organism in Eukaryota, Viridiplantae, Streptophyta, Magnoliopsida, Malvales, Malvaceae. The record is from Rfam.
GUGUUACAAUGAGGACACUUACGAAGUAGCUCCUUGAAUCUUUCCCACCCCUUGUAUAAGGAUUCGUCAUCCAAUUGUGAAAACGUGGUUAUCCCAUUUCACAACUU